Mus musculus (house mouse) is the source of this 2400-nucleotide long non-coding RNA. RefSeq annotates it as RIKEN cDNA D830050J10 gene. NCBI's taxonomy places the organism in Eukaryota, Metazoa, Chordata, Mammalia, Rodentia, Muridae. The transcript has a single exon. The record is from RefSeq and is marked validated.
AAAAAAGAACGAGCCCAUCCCAGUGACAACACAGUCACUGGGCAGCUCUGGGAGGAUUUUUUUUCCCCCAUUGCCAAAAUAUGAGGAAUGCUCGCUGGGCACCGGAGUGGCGCUGGCACGUUUCCGAGAAACACUGGGAAAUCUGAGCAGGGGUGUGGAAACUGGCUCGCCGGCCAUGACACCCGGCCCGCGCCCGGCCCGCCACCAGGAUGACAGCGGCCUGGCCGACCCUGCGCCCCACGGUCGCACCGUCAGCCCUGUGGCCUACCUGAGGGAGCCGGGCAGUGCCGGGUCCCGUCGUGCAGCGGCAGCGGUGGUUGAGAGAACGCGUUGGUUGCGGUCACAUUCGGCGUGUCCCCAGCCCGGGGGACGGGGCCCCGGGGAGGCCCCGCAUCGCUGCACUAGCGCCCCGCGCCUCAGGGCACGCGCCCCAAAGCUCGGCCAGCUGGCCCGUCCGAGGGCCUGCGGAGAACAACAGAGAAGCCUUCCCGCCUCAAGUCCGCUCGGCUCUAACUCCCGCCAUCCAAGAUGGCGGCACCAGCACCCGCGAAGAAGACGCUCUCAGGCUAUCCCGGGCGAGCUAGCCCUGCGCUCGACACUCGUCUCCACGACCUGCGGCGCCGCCGGGCUCACUGCCUCUGCGCGAGCUCCUGGGCUCGGCAGUCCGCUUAAAACUCGGCUCGGGGAUCUAUCGCUCGAGCCUGGAAUGUGGCCCCGCCUCCGGGGGCGUGGCCUCGCGGUCCUGCGGCCGCCAUUUCGGGGUUGACUCCGUGGUAGCAGAGUGACUGUUUCUGGUUGGAGGCCAGUGGUAUUGGGCUGCAGCCGCGGUCCGGCCACCCGCGAGGCCCUCAGCGGGCCAGACGCGCCUGGUGACACACGGCACAGGGCUCCAGCUCUGGUGCUUCCUCUCCGAAGUUGACAUCCGUGGAGAAUGGCGGCCUAGGGGUUUUGUGGGAAAGCCCUCAUGCUAUGUGAAACCUCAGGUUCCUCAUUUGUAGAUGGAGUGUUCGCUGUAGUACACCAAGUUGACCAAAAACUAAAAGUAUGGUGUUGCACACCUGUAAUGCCAGCGCUUGGAAAGUGAGGGCAAGAGGGUCGGGAGUUCACGGUCAUAUGAGCUGCAUGAGACCCUGUCUCAAAAAAGAAAAAAAAAUUAAAAUUGAUGCGACAAUAUGGCCCACCGUAAACUGAAGCCUGUUGUGCGUCUUCGUACAGCCCCCGUGGAAUAGACACCUGGAGGGCAAUGUGUAUUGUCAAUUGUGCUUUUUUUUUUUUUUCCCCUCUUUGAAAUAGGUUCUCAAUUUUAUUUAUUUAUUGUGGUUUUUCGAGACAGGGUUUCUUUGUCUAACAGCCCUGUCUGUCCUGGAACUCACUUUGUAAACCAGGCUGGCCUCGAGCUCAAAGAGAUCGCUCUGCCUCUGCCUCUUGAGUGCUGGGAUUAAAAGCAUGUGCCAGAUUCCCUCUUAAUUUGAGGCUGGCCUCAGACUCUGGUUCUCCUACCUCUGUGUAAGUAUUUUCCAAGUAGCCAUUUGGGGACCCGCAAGGUGACUCAGAGAGUAAAAAGUGUGCAGAGUAAAACCUGAUGGAAGAGAGAACAGGCUCCUGAAAGUUAUCCUCUGACCUCCAUUCGAACCCGGUGCUACGUGCGCAACCUGCAACCGCAUUUACAAAUACACAGACAAGUUUUUUUUUGUUUUUUUUAAGUAACCAUUUAUAAGUAAACAUCUUUUGGCAUUUAGUGCGUUCACAGUAUUGUGUAACCACAACUUUGGUUCCAAAACAUUUCCAUUACUCUGAAAUAAAAUUACCCACUAAGCAGUUUAGUUUCUCACUAGCUCCCACCCAGAGCAACCACCAAUACUCAUUUUGCUACUACAGACCUGACUUCUAGAUUAUCUUGUGUGCGUGGAUACUUAUAAAGUAUGGGGCCCUUUAUGAUUUAAGUCUUUUCACUUAGCCUGUUUCCGAGUUCAUCUGUAACACAUGUGUGCUAAUACUUCACUCCUCUUUAGAGCUAAACUAUUUCAUCAGAAGUUUACACCAGAUUUUCUGUCUAGGAUAACCAUGGAAAUUUAGGUUCUUUCCAUCUUUUGGCUUUUGUAUUGGUUACUUUUCUGGUUUCUGUGACAAGAUAAUGGACAAAUGCAGGGUUAAAAAAAAGGGGGGGGGAGGUAGGCCCAAAGGGGAAUGGCUAACCACUGGGUAGUGGUUAGGGCACCAGCUGCUCUUGCAGAGGACUUAGGUUCAAUUCUCAACACCCACAUGGUAGUCACAACCACUCAUAACUCCAGGUGCAGAGGAUCAAAUGCCCUUUCCUGAUCUCUGUGUACCAGACACAUAGUACACAGAUACACAUAAAUAGAUUAAAUCAUAAUAAUAAAAGAAAGGAAGGGCUUCUUA